GACGAACGCUGGCGGCGUGCUUAACACAUGCAAGUCGAACGGAAAGGCCCUGCUUGCAGGGUACUCGAGUGGCGAACGGGUGAGUAACACGUGGGUGAUCUGCCCUGCACUUCGGGAUAAGCCUGGGAAACUGGGUCUAAUACCGGCUAGGAGCCAUUUUUAGUGUGAUGGUUGGAAAGUUUUUUCGGUGUAGGAUGAGCUCGCGGGCUAUCAGCUUGUUGGUGGGGUAAUGGCCUACCAAGGCGGCGACGGGUAGCCGGCCUGAGAGGGUGGACGGCCACAUUGGGACUGAGAUACGGCCCAGACUCCUACGGGAGGCAGCAGUGGGGAAUAUUGAACAAUGGGCGCAAGCCUGAUGCAGCGACGCCGCGUGGGGGAUGACGGCCUUCGGGUUGUAAACUCCUUUCGCUAGGGACGAAGCUUUUUGUGACGGUACCUAGAGAAGAAGCACCGGCUAACUACGUG
Molecule: ribosomal RNA, 465 nt
Filed under: uncultured bacterium
Lineage: Bacteria
Description: partial 16S ribosomal RNA
Rfam family: Bacterial small subunit ribosomal RNA
Source: RNAcentral